AUUAAUUGUGUUUCAGCUGCUGUGUCAAACACAGUUUCAGAGACGAAGGGGAGAAGGCUUUGCAUGGGAUGUAGGGAAGGGGGUGAUCCUAAGACUCUUCCCGACCCCCUUGCUCAGAGAUCUCCUCUUGGGUUGCAGAAACUGGCGUAAUGUUGUCCCGGUGCCCGAGUCAGGUCACACAAAGGAGAUUGGGACAAUAGCUGGAGUGGAUUACUCAUUCCCGUAGGCAAUACUUCCCUGUAUGGGCUUCAGGAUGCAGUUGGAAGCUUGGGAACAAAGCGGGCAUCGAAUGUCAAGAAAGAUUAAUUUCAUCUCUCCUAUCCUGGGCCCAUUUUCUGUCAGUGAAGGGAUAUAAUAAUGAUCAAUGCACAGUACUUCUCAUAUCUUUUGUACUUGGUAAAUAUUUGUAAUAUUUUGGAUGUGGAAGGGAGGUGAAGAGAUGAGCCCAAUCUCAGCUUCAGAGGAUCCUCAUGAGUUCUCACAUAGAGGGAGGAAAAAUCCAAACAACCAAGCCAACCUGUUCAGAAGACCCUCCAGCCCAAAACUACAGUCAUGCAGGAUCCUUUUGAGGAAGAAAUAGUUCUGCUAGGACUCCAUACUUGGACUUUGAAGGGCAUGGCACAGUGGUCUGAUAUGAGAGCACUAUCCUCGCAGAAGGAAACUCUCCUCUGUAUCCUGUGCCUUGCAGGGGAGGCAGCGAGAGGACACUUGAAGUAUCCAAGCAUCUGGCAUCAAGCCUGACAAUCCACUUCACACUAUGUGAAGGAAAGUUUGUUCCAAACCACAUACUUUGUGGUGCUUGAUACUGGUGUCAAACUGGU
This 821-nucleotide long non-coding RNA is filed under the name Chloebia gouldiae (Gouldian finch). Its description in RNAcentral is "Erythrura gouldiae (Gouldian finch) lncRNA (ENSEGOG00005007899.1)". Lineage: Eukaryota; Metazoa; Chordata; Aves; Passeriformes; Passeridae. The record is from RNAcentral.